RNAcentral lists this RNase P RNA (380 nucleotides) under Deltaproteobacteria bacterium HGW-Deltaproteobacteria-4. RNAcentral's name for it is "RNase P RNA component class A". It matches the Rfam family "Bacterial RNase P class A". Rfam says of the family: Ribonuclease P (RNase P) is a ubiquitous endoribonuclease, found in archaea, bacteria and eukarya as well as chloroplasts and mitochondria. Its best characterised activity is the generation of mature 5'-ends of tRNAs by cleaving the 5'-leader elements of precursor-tRNAs. The record is from RNAcentral. Lineage: Bacteria; Deltaproteobacteria.
GGAGAAGGACAGACGAUCGCCGGUUCCGUAAGGGACGGGAGGAAAGUCCGGGCUCCACAGGGCAGGAUGGUCCUUAACGGGGACCGGGGGCGACCCCAGGGAAAGUGCCACAGAGAGAAGACCGCCCGCUCGAUUUCGAUCUGCGGGUAAGGGUGAAAGGGUGAGGUAAGAGCUCACCAGUUUCGGCGGUGACGUCGAAAGCUCGGUAAACCCCAUCCGGAGCAAGACCAAAUAGGGGAGCGUUUGAGGACGGCCCGUCCGAAGCUCCCGGGUACGGUUGCUUGAGGCUGUCGGCAACGACAGUCCUAGAGGAAUGAUCGUCACUGCGUUGCGGGUAACGGCAUCACAGAACAGAACCCGGCUUACGGCCUUCUCCGGCC